RNAcentral lists this long non-coding RNA (661 nucleotides) under Homo sapiens (human). Its description in RNAcentral is "non-protein coding lnc-OTOA-1:1". Lineage: Eukaryota; Metazoa; Chordata; Mammalia; Primates; Hominidae. The record is from RNAcentral.
AUUAAGCCUCAGCUCCAGCUCUCUGUAUUGCACUCACUAGUCAUCAGGUUGGAAGGUCCUGGGUUCCUGUGUCCUGUUGGGCAACCGCAUGAUAGAACUUUAAUGCUACUUCCUGGCAUAGCAGGAGAUGAAAGAGCAGGGGGAAGAAACAUCAAUCUAACCACGAAUUUUAUUUCCUUGUGUUUCUGAUGCUAAAAAUGGAGAGGAAGUCAAACUAGACAAGAGGGAAGUCUCCAUGAAGUGUGGAAAACAAGCUCCUUGAUUGUGGAUGUGCAGAGCUGCCUGUUGAGUCUGAGGAGUCUGGCAUGUGACACACUGCAGACCUGAGACAAGAAGCCUUGUUGCUAUGGGUGACUUUUAGUGACCUAUAAAUUUUGCAGGCGCGCCACGGCACUCUAUUAUUGCUUUCUUUCUCUGAGUCACUAAUUAGAUCCUGAUGAUUUCCAUGUGAAACCAUGAGGACUGGGAGAUGCAAAAUGGUUUUGCUGUGUAGAUUCAUGAAUGCUGGACUGUUGGAGGAUAUCUGAGUGUGCUUUGCAUACUUGGCUUAAUUUGUUUUUUUUUAACUAAAAGUAGUUGUAGGUGAAAUGAUUACUUAGGUAAUUGUUUUGGUAAAUGGCUUGAAGUUGAACCACAGCAGUUUUGCUAUUUGGAAAAAAAA